GUAUAUAGACUUUGGUCACAAACAAUCGGUAUGUCAAACAAAAUGAAGUAGAAUGUGUUUUCUAUGUUUGGGUACGAAGCUGAAUAAAACAAUAGUUUUAAAAUACUUUGUUAAUGUAUCCAAUGUCAAAGUAAAAACAAACAAGGUCAACGAUUACGCAUAAAUCAUCAUCAGUUAGAGGAAACAUUCACAUUGGUGCUUUUAAGGGAGAAUUCUCUUUCAGCAUUGUGCUAAUUGCCAACGUUAAAAAAUAUCAGCUUAAAGGGUAAAUAAUGGGAAGACGCUUUGUGAUGGAUAAGAAA
This is a long non-coding RNA of Anopheles merus, 302 nucleotides long. RefSeq lists it as uncharacterized. NCBI's taxonomy places the organism in Eukaryota, Metazoa, Arthropoda, Insecta, Diptera, Culicidae. The transcript has 3 exons. The record is from RefSeq and is a predicted model, not a curated record.